CGGAUCUCUUGGCUCUCGCAUCGAUGAAGAACGCAGCGAAAUGCGAUAAGUAAUGUGAAUUGCAGAAUUCAGUGAAUCAUCGAAUCUUUGAACGCACCUUGCGCUCCUUGGUAUUCUGAGGAGCAUGCCUGUUUGAGUGUCAUGAAAUGCUCAACUGCUUUAGCUUUUGUGGUUGAAGUAAAGUUGGAUUUGGAGGAAUAAUUGCUGGCGUAACCUUUUAAGGUUGCUUGUUAGCUCCUCUUAAAUGGAUGAACUUUCCAGUAGUGUAAAAGUAACACCAAUGUGAUAAUUAUCUACGUUGGAUGAACUUGUACAAGGAAAGAUGAAUCUGUCUUGGGGACCCCCUUGACAAAACAAAUGACAAAUUUGACCUCAAAUCAGGUAGGAUUACCCGCUGAACUUAAGCAUAUCAAUAAG
Molecule: ribosomal RNA, 417 nt
Filed under: uncultured Pseudotomentella
Lineage: Eukaryota; Fungi; Basidiomycota; Agaricomycetes; Thelephorales; Thelephoraceae
Description: eukaryotic LSU rRNA
Rfam family: 5.8S ribosomal RNA (bases 2-142)
Source: RNAcentral